This 32-nucleotide non-coding RNA is filed under the name Homo sapiens (human). Lineage: Eukaryota; Metazoa; Chordata; Mammalia; Primates; Hominidae. The record is from RNAcentral.
AUCGAGGCUAGAGUCACGCUUGGGUAUCGGCU